GACCAAACUGUAGAUGAGAAAUACACCAAGCUGCAGUUAGUUACUUGUGUUAAUUAUGAGCCAAUAUAUAAAUAGAUAUAAGAGAAAAUAUGUACUUACAUUGGACAUGAUAUUGGCAAUGGCGGAGCCGAGGUACGCACAGAAAAAAGCUGCAGGGGAGAAGAGAGAUGACAUUUGUGUGAAUGCUGUAAUAGAUUUGAAAUAUCUGGUUGUUCCAGUGUUGCAUGUAAUUACAUAUGUUGUUAUCAUCAUGUCUGAAACAGAUGCACUCUCAGAUUUGUAUCUGCUGGGUGUCUACUCACCACAUGUGAUGGCGAGCAGGUGCACCUGCCAGAUCCCAGCACAGCAUGAGCACAUGUGAUAGGGGAGGAGAUGAAGAGGGAGAUGAUGAAGAUUCCUCCUGUCCAAGGAUUGUCACAGCCGUAGACCUGGCCAAUUCCAACGGGCACUGACAUGAACAGCUUGGGAGCGUACAGUAUCAGCCCUCAGAGAGAGAUCCUGGCCUGUCACUGACCUUGGCUACAUCGAUUUCAGCCCAGGUGAUGUUGGGAAGCUCUGACCGAGGCUCAAUGAGGACUUGGGGAAAGUGGUGGUUGAAGUGGCCGGUGGC
Long non-coding RNA from Acanthopagrus latus (yellowfin seabream), 610 nucleotides. RefSeq lists it as uncharacterized. Lineage: Eukaryota; Metazoa; Chordata; Actinopteri; Spariformes; Sparidae. The record is from RefSeq and is a predicted model, not a curated record. The transcript has 3 exons.